GAUCAUUAGUGAAUUGCUCUUUGAGCGUUAAACUAUAUCCAUCUACACCUGUGAACUGUUGAUUGACUUCGGUCAAUUACUUUUACAAACAUUGUGUAAUGAACGUCAUGUUAUUAUAACAAAAAUAACUUUCAACAACGGAUCUCUUGGCUCUCGCAUCGAUGAAGAACGCAGCGAAAUGCGAUAAGUAAUGUGAAUUGCAGAAUUCAGUGAAUCAUCGAAUCUUUGAACGCAACUUGCGCUCUCUGGUAUUCCGGAGAGCAUGCCUGUUUGAGUAUCAUGAAAUCUCAACCAUUAGGGUUUCUUAAUGGCUUGGAUUUGGGCGCUGCCACUUGCCUGGCUCGCCUUAAAAGAGUUAGCGUAUUAACUUGUCGAUCUGGCGUAAUAAGUUUCGCUGGUGUAGACUUGAGAAGUGCGCUUCUAAUCGUCUUCGGACAAUUCUUGAACUCUGGUCUCAAAUCAGGUAGGACUACCCGCUGAACUUAAGC
RNAcentral lists this unclassified non-coding RNA (488 nucleotides) under Cutaneotrichosporon dermatis. RNAcentral describes it as "sequence contains 18S rRNA gene, ITS1, 5.8S rRNA gene, ITS2, 28S rRNA gene". The stretch from base 127 to 280 matches the Rfam family "5.8S ribosomal RNA". The record is from RNAcentral. Lineage: Eukaryota; Fungi; Basidiomycota; Tremellomycetes; Trichosporonales; Trichosporonaceae.